AUGCUGGAGGGGCCUAGCGCUGAGAGGGUUUACACCCGACUCCUUGCACCUGAUCCGGAUAAUACCGGCGUAGGGAAAGCAUU
Molecule: non-coding RNA, 83 nt
Filed under: Subdoligranulum variabile
Lineage: Bacteria; Bacillati; Bacillota; Clostridia; Eubacteriales; Oscillospiraceae
Description: TPP riboswitch (THI element)
Rfam family: TPP riboswitch aptamer (THI element)
About the family: Vitamin B(1) in its active form thiamin pyrophosphate (TPP) is an essential coenzyme that is synthesised by coupling of pyrimidine and thiazole moieties in bacteria. The previously detected thiamin-regulatory element, thi box was extended, resulting in a new, highly conserved RNA secondary structure, the THI element, which is widely distributed in eubacteria and also occurs in some archaea.
Source: RNAcentral